Long non-coding RNA from Sebastes umbrosus (honeycomb rockfish), 176 nucleotides. RefSeq lists it as uncharacterized. The record is from RefSeq and is a predicted model, not a curated record. The transcript has 2 exons. Lineage: Eukaryota; Metazoa; Chordata; Actinopteri; Perciformes; Sebastidae.
AGAUAAAAGUAAAAUUAAGUGAUUAAAAAGUCCAAGUUAUGAAACAAAGGUCAACAUUAUGAGAUAAAGGUCAGAAUUAUGAGAUAAAAAUUCUAAAUUAUGAGAUUAAAUACUCAAAAUUAUGAUAAAAGGUACAAAUUUAAACAUUAUGAAUAAAAAGUAUAAAUUAUAAGAUU